Molecule: non-coding RNA, 303 nt
Organism: Zonotrichia albicollis (white-throated sparrow)
Lineage: Eukaryota; Metazoa; Chordata; Aves; Passeriformes; Passerellidae
Source: RefSeq, a predicted model, not a curated record
UCUUUGUUUCCCAUUAGAAAAUCCGAAUAUUCCCAGAGGACCAGAGGACUCCAACGGUUCACUUCCCGGCCACUGCGGCUUCAGAUUCGUUUUGGCGCUCACCCUGACAGUGAUCCUGGAGCUCACGUGAAGCUUCACCUCCUCCUCCUCCUCUUCCUCCUCAGUGUCCUGCUCCUCCCGGCAUUCCUGCCUCCAGCCAUCGGGUCUCCCGCUCUUUUUUUUUUCUAUACUCUCGACAGUCUCGGUCUCUUUCGUGUCUUGGCUUCCUCAGACGAUUGAAUUAAAGGGAAAAAGGAAAACCUC